GAUGAACGCUGGCGGCGUGCCUAAUACAUGCAAGUCGAGCGAACAGACGAGGAGCUUGCUCCUUUGACGUUAGCGGCGGACGGGUGAGUAACACGUGGGUAACCUACCUAUAAGACUGGGAUAACUUCGGGAAACCGGAGCUAAUACCGGAUAAUAUUUCGAACCGCAUGGUUCGAUAGUGAAAGAUGGCUUUGCUAUCACUUAUAGAUGGACCUGCACCGUAUUAGCUAGUUGGUAAGGUAACGGCUUACCAAGGCAACGAUACGUAGCCGACCUGAGAGGGUGAUCGGCCACACUGGAACUGAGACACGGUCCAGACUCCUACGGGAGGCAGCAGUAGGGAAUCUUCCGCAAUGGGCGAAAGCCUGACGGAGCAACGCCGCGUGAGUGAUGAAGGUCUUCGGAUCGUAAAACUCUGUUAUUAGGGAAGAACAAACGUGUAAGUAACUGUGCACGUCUUGACGGUACCUAAUCAGAAAGCCACGGCUAACUACGUG
Molecule: ribosomal RNA, 497 nt
Filed under: uncultured bacterium
Lineage: Bacteria
Description: partial 16S ribosomal RNA
Rfam family: Bacterial small subunit ribosomal RNA
Source: RNAcentral